This 301-nucleotide ribosomal RNA is filed under the name uncultured bacterium. RNAcentral describes it as "partial 16S ribosomal RNA". It matches the Rfam family "Bacterial small subunit ribosomal RNA", at positions 509 to 807 of the family's 1533-position model. The record is from RNAcentral.
CAGUCGCCGCGGGAAUACGAAGGGGGCUAGCGUUGUUCGGAUUUACUGGGCGUAAAGCGCACGUAGGCGGAUCCUUAAGUCAGAGGUGAAAUCCCAAGGCUCAACCUUGGAACUGCCUUUGAUACUGGGGAUCUCGAGUUCGGGAGAAGUGAGUGGAAUUCCUGGUGUAGCGGUGAAAUGCGUAGAUAUCAGGAGGAACACCUGUGGCGAAAGCGGCUCACUGGACCAUUACUGACGCUGAGACGCGAAAGCGUGGGGAGCAAACAGGAUUAGAUACCCCCGUAGUCCCUGUCCCUUAUAC